AGAGUUUGAUCCUGGCUCAGGAUGAACGCUGGCGGCGUGCCUAAUACAUGCAAGUCGAGCGAACGGACGAGAAGCUUGCUUCUCUGAUGUUAGCGGCGGACGGGUGAGUAACACGUGGAUAACCUACCUAUAAGACUGGGAUAACUUCGGGAAACCGGAGCUAAUACCGGAUAAUAUUUUGAACCGCAUGGUUCAAAAGUGAAAGACGGUCUUGCUGUCACUUAUAGAUGGAUCCGCGCUGCAUUAGCUAGUUGGUAAGGUAACGGCUUACCAAGGCAACGAUGCAUAGCCGACCUGAGAGGGUGAUCGGCCACACUGGAACUGAGACACGGUCCAGACUCCUACGGGAGGCAGCAGUAGGGAAUCUUCCGCAAUGGGCGAAAGCCUGACGGAGCAACGCCGCGUGAGUGAUGAAGGUCUUCGGAUCGUAAAACUCUGUUAUUAGGGAAGAACAUAUGUGUAAGUAACUGUGCACAUCUUGACGGUACCUAAUCAGAAAGCCACGGCUAACUACGUGCCAGCAGCCGCGGUAAUACGUAGGUGGCAAGCGUUAUCCGGAAUUAUUGGGCGUAAAGCGCGCGUAGGCGGUUUUUUAAGUCUGAUGUGAAAGCCCACGGCUCAACCGUGGAGGGUCAUUGGAAACUGGAAAACUUGAGUGCAGAAGAGGAAAGUGGAAUUCCAUGUGUAGCGGUGAAAUGCGCAGAGAUAUGGAGGAACACCAGUGGCGAAGGCGACUUUCUGGUCUGUAACUGACGCUGAUGUGCGAAAGCGUGGGGAUCAAACAGGAUUAGAUACCCUGGUAGUCCACGCCGUAAACGAUGAGUGCUAAGUGUUAGGGGGUUUCCGCCCCUUAGUGCUGCAGCUAACGCAUUAAGCACUCCGCCUGGGGAGUACGACCGCAAGGUUGAAACUCAAAGGAAUUGACGGGGACCCGCACAAGCGGUGGAGCAUGUGGUUUAAUUCGAAGCAACGCGAAGAACCUUACCAAAUCUUGACAUCCUUUGACAACUCUAGAGAUAGAGCCUUCCCCUUCGGGGGACAAAGUGACAGGUGGUGCAUGGUUGUCGUCAGCUCGUGUCGUGAGAUGUUGGGUUAAGUCCCGCAACGAGCGCAACCCUUAAGCUUAGUUGCCAUCAUUAAGUUGGGCACUCUAAGUUGACUGCCGGUGACAAACCGGAGGAAGGUGGGGAUGACGUCAAAUCAUCAUGCCCCUUAUGAUUUGGGCUACACACGUGCUACAAUGGACAAUACAAAGGGCAGCGAAACCGCGAGGUCAAG
This 1278-nucleotide ribosomal RNA is filed under the name Staphylococcus aureus VET1909R. Its description in RNAcentral is "bacterial SSU rRNA". It matches the Rfam family "Bacterial small subunit ribosomal RNA", at positions 8 to 1267 of the family's 1533-position model. RNAcentral also lists the same sequence under 2 other names. Lineage: Bacteria; Bacillati; Bacillota; Bacilli; Caryophanales; Staphylococcaceae. The record is from RNAcentral.